Molecule: non-coding RNA, 139 nt
Organism: Triticum aestivum (bread wheat)
Lineage: Eukaryota; Viridiplantae; Streptophyta; Magnoliopsida; Poales; Poaceae
Source: Rfam
AUUCUACUCCCUCCGUUGCACAAUACUACAUGCCUUCUAUUUGUCAAAAUAUAUAUGUAUCUAGACAUGUCUUAGUAUAUAGGUACAUCCAUUUUUGGACAAAUGGAAGUCAAGUAUUUUGGAACGGAGGGAGUACACA